Molecule: ribosomal RNA, 253 nt
Filed under: uncultured bacterium
Lineage: Bacteria
Description: partial 16S ribosomal RNA
Rfam family: Bacterial small subunit ribosomal RNA
Source: RNAcentral
UACGGAGGGAGCUAGCGUUGUUCGGAAUUACUGGGCGUAAAGCGCACGUAGGCGGCUUUGUAAGUUAGAGGUGAAAGCCUGGAGCUCAACUCCAGAAUUUCCUUUAAGACUGCAUCGCUUGAAUCCAGGAGAGGUGAGUGGAAUUCCGAGUGUAGAGGUGAAAUUCGUAGAUAUUCGGAAGAACACCAGUGGCGAAGGCGGCUCACUGGACUGGUAUUGACGCUGAGGUGCGAAAGCGUGGGGAGCAAACAGG